GACGAACGCUGGCGGCGUGCCUAAUACAUGCAAGUAGAACGCUGAAGGAGGAGCUUGCUCUUCUGGAUGAGUUGCGAACGGGUGAGUAACGCGUAGGUAACCUGCCUGGUAGCGGGGGAUAACUAUUGGAAACGAUAGCUAAUACCGCAUAACAGUAGAUGUUGCAUGACAUUUGCUUAAAAGGUGCAAUUGCACCACUACCAGAUGGACCUGCGUUGUAUUAGCUAGUUGGUGGGGUAACGGCUCACCAAGGCGACGAUACAUAGCCGACCUGAGAGGGUGAUCGGCCACACUGGGACUGAGACACGGCCCAGACUCCUACGGGAGGCAGCAGGAGGGAAUCUUCGGCAAUGGACGGAAGGCUGACCGAGCAACGCCGCGGGAGUGAAGAAGGUUGUCGGAUCGUAAAGCUCGGUUGUAAGAGAAGAACGAGUGUGAGAGUGGAAAGUUCACACUGUGACGGUAUCUUACCAGAAAGGGACGGCUAACUACGUG
This 495-nucleotide ribosomal RNA is filed under the name uncultured bacterium. RNAcentral describes it as "partial 16S ribosomal RNA". It matches the Rfam family "Bacterial small subunit ribosomal RNA", at positions 28 to 507 of the family's 1533-position model. The record is from RNAcentral.